CUCUCAGUUCGGAUUGGAGUCUGCAACCCGACUCCAUGAAGCUGGAUUCGCUAGUAAUCGCGCAUCAGCCACGGCGCGGUGAAUACGUUCCCGGGCCUUGUACACACCGCCCGUCAAGCCAUGAAAGCCGGGGGUACCUGAAGUGCGUAACCGCAAGGAGCGCCCUAGGGUAAAACUGGUGAUUGGGGCUAAGUCGUAACAAGGUAGC
Molecule: ribosomal RNA, 208 nt
Filed under: uncultured bacterium
Lineage: Bacteria
Description: partial 16S ribosomal RNA
Rfam family: Bacterial small subunit ribosomal RNA
Source: RNAcentral